Non-coding RNA from Cottoperca gobio, 722 nucleotides. Lineage: Eukaryota; Metazoa; Chordata; Actinopteri; Perciformes; Bovichtidae. The record is from the annotation of a RefSeq genome assembly.
GAGAAGGCCUGUGCAGCAGAAAGGCACUUUACUGUUUCUUUCUACUGCAGUGGAAUAACUUUGCUCAUCUGUGGCUGUUUGGCUUUAACAACUCCAAAGACAUGUUGCUUUACCUCUUUUUACUUUUCUCUCACUUUAUAGCCCUGGGCUCCAUGGACAGCAUAAAGCCAGAGAGUAGUGAAGAACUUGUUGCAGAGGGCAGAAACAUCAACCUGACCUGUAGAUAUGAUGGUACUAUCUACAGUAUCCAGUGGUACCGACAAUACCAGAGAUCCAGACCAGAGUUCCUGCUCUACAUCACAGAGGGAGGAUUGAUUCAUUCAACUGUUUCUGAUUUCUCAGCUCACAUUGACAAGACACAGAAACGUGUUGAUCUGGAGAUCAUCUCAGCUAAAGACUCUGCUGUGUACUACUGUGCUCUGCAGCCCACAGUGACAGGAAACACCAGAACUCUGUACAAAACCUUUGGAGCAAAGACAACACAACACAACAUGGCAGAUCUGAACUUCUUCCCUCCACUAGAGGGCCACAUUAUCAAGUAGGCGGUGCACUACUUCUGCACUGUGUUCAACCAUCCAGUGAAUAAUAAGUGCUGCUGUGAAGAGCACAAUUCUCAGACUGAAUGUUGAACAUCAGAUAGUUUCUCCUGUUGAUUUAAACUUUGUUGUACAGAUGGAACAUUGGCUGUGGAUUAUUCUUGCUGCUCUUUUCUUUGGUAACAU